Molecule: long non-coding RNA, 318 nt
Filed under: Ananas comosus (pineapple)
Lineage: Eukaryota; Viridiplantae; Streptophyta; Magnoliopsida; Poales; Bromeliaceae
Description: long non-coding RNA (ACOM_LNC033142)
Source: RNAcentral
UUUGUAUGUUGAACUAGAAAUGUUAAAUGAUGUAAUUGAUGUAUUUGGAUGAAAGCUAAUGUGAUGUAAGUGUGAAUGAAAAAGAAUAUGAAUGUAAUAGUUUAAAUUUACUUGUGUUUGAUUCAAAGGAAAUCAAAUGACUUGUAUGUUGUAUGUUUAGUUAGUUUCGAUGCUUUCACAUGUGAUUUAGUUGUUGUUUGCCCUCGUGCAAACCUUAUAUAAUUGCGUUCAUUUGUAUUGAAUUGCUUGUAUUAUACAUGUUAUUGGAGCCUUGGGCGGACAGGAGAGGUGCUGUCCAUUCGAUGUCUGUUCGCGUGC